This 465-nucleotide ribosomal RNA is filed under the name Vreelandella stevensii. Its description in RNAcentral is "partial 16S ribosomal RNA". It matches the Rfam family "Bacterial small subunit ribosomal RNA", at positions 338 to 795 of the family's 1533-position model. Lineage: Bacteria; Pseudomonadati; Pseudomonadota; Gammaproteobacteria; Oceanospirillales; Halomonadaceae. The record is from RNAcentral.
CCUACGGGGGGCUGCAGUGGGGAAUAUUGGACAAUGGGGGGAACCCUGAUCCAGCCAUGCCGCGUGUGUGAAGAAGGCCCUCGGGUUGUAAAGCACUUUCAGUGAGGAAGAACGCCUGGUGGUUAAUACCCAUCAGGAAAGACAUCACUCACAGAAGAAGCACCGGCUAACUCCGUGCCAGCAGCCGCGGUAAUACGGAGGGGGCGAGCGUUAAUCGGAAUUACUGGGCGUAAAGCGCGCGUAGGUGGCUUGAUAAGCCGGUUGUGAAAGCCCCGGGCUCAACCUGGGAACGGCAUCCGGAACUGUCAAGCUAGAGUGCAGGAGAGGAAGGUAGAACUCCCGGUGUAGCGGUGAAAUGCGUAGAGAUCGGGAGGAAUACCAGUGGCGAAGGCGGCCUUCUGGACUGACACUGACACUGAGGUGCGAAAGCGUGGGUAGCAAACAGGAUUAGAUACCCUUGUAGUC